This 253-nucleotide ribosomal RNA is filed under the name uncultured bacterium. RNAcentral describes it as "partial 16S ribosomal RNA". It matches the Rfam family "Bacterial small subunit ribosomal RNA", at positions 524 to 776 of the family's 1533-position model. The record is from RNAcentral.
UACGGAGGAUCCAAGCGUUAUCCGGAUUCAUUGGGUUUAAAGGGCGCGUAGGCGGCCUGCUAAGUCGAACGUGAAAUCCCUGGGCUCAACCCAGGAACUGCGUCCGAUACUGGUUGGCUUGAAUCCGGGAGAGGGAUGUGGAAUUCCAGGUGUAGCGGUGAAAUGCGUAGAUAUCUGGAGGAACACCGGUGGCGAAGGCGACAUCCUGGACCGGCAUUGACGCUGAGGCGCGAAAGCCAGGGGAGCAAACGGG